RNAcentral lists this ribosomal RNA (882 nucleotides) under Triticum aestivum (bread wheat). RNAcentral describes it as "partial small subunit ribosomal RNA". Lineage: Eukaryota; Viridiplantae; Streptophyta; Magnoliopsida; Poales; Poaceae. The record is from RNAcentral.
AUGAUGAAGGAGCUCACCGAGCUGCUCGGGACGGCCGCCGUUAGCGACGUGUUCCCGCGGCUCCAGUGGGUGGACUGGGCGACGGGACUCGACGCAAGGAUAAGUCGGACAGCGGCUGAGCUCGACAGUGUCAUCGAGAAGACGCUCACGGAGCACGAGGGGAGCCGAGCAAACGACGGUGAGGUUCAUGACCUCCUGGACGGCUUGCUCUCGAUCGUCAAGGAUGGUGAUCAGGGGUUUAGGAUGGACCGGAUUGAUGUCAAGGCGCUCAUCUUGGACAUGUUCAUAGGAGGCACGGACACGAUCUAUAAGGCGAUAGAAUGGACCAUGGCCGAGCUUGUUAAGAAUCCAAGAGAAAUGGAAAAGGUGCAAGCAGAGGUGAGACAAGUUGCUGCCGGUACGCAGGGAGGAGUCCUUGAGGAGGAGCUGGAGAAGAUGAGCCUCCUCCACGCUGCCAUGAAAGAGGCACUACGGCUACAUCCGCCCAUACCCCUCUUCCCGCACGAGUCGAUUCAGAACACCCGGCUGCACGGCUACGACAUCCCAGCCAAGACCCGGAUCAUGAUCAACGCAUGGACGAUCGGAAGGGACAGCGAGUCGUGGGAGGAGGCCGAUGAGUUCCGGCCAGAGAGGUUCAUGGACAGGGCCAUGGACUACAGCGGCAAGGACCCCCGGUUCAUACCGUUCGGCGCGGGGAGGAGGGGAUGCCCUGGUAUCGCCUUUGCGUUGCGGCUGGCGGAGCUCACACUGGCGAACAUGAUGUACCAUUUUGAUUGGGUGCUCCCGGAUGGCCAGGACCCGGAGUCAUUUGAGGUUGUCGAGUCCAACGGCUUCGCGCCUGCGCUGAAGUGCCCUUUGAUCCUUGUCGCAAAACCUUUAUAA